UCUGCAGCAGUAGACAAUCCACAAACCAAAAUAAUCAUUUUUUUAACCAUAAAACUGGAAAUGCUUUUUCCAAUUCCUGUCUUACGACUUCUCUAAGAAUAAUACAGCUGUUUAGCUAUUUAAUGGGGGAAGUACGGUCUUUAAACCGAUGCUUUGUGCGGACACCGGAGUCCGUUGCUCCGGUUGCUAGGACACAACACUGCGCUUCUUGUAAUACAACCUCCUGGGUCCAACUGGUCCAGGCUUAGGUCUGGCCCUGACCCAGCUGGGAGAAUUCAAGAUUUAUUUAUGCUGUGGCAGCAGAAUAAGGCAGUUACUCAUGACGACUUUUCUACACAGGACAAACAGCAGCCUGUCAGCCACCGCCAGUGAGUCGGACUUAACAUCGUUGGGAGAAAAGCUGAUUCUGUCUCUUGUUCUUAUGAAAAGAAACGUAUAUCCAGAAUUCAGCCAGAAAACAAAUUUUAUACGUCUAUGAGUUGAAAGAAUGAAUGGAUGAGAUUAUUUCAAAUGGAAUCCGAGCACUUGUGAGCAGUGUCGGCAGGUGGGGAAGGUAAUGCAAAGGCAGUUCUCUAUAGACAGCUCGUGCCUUGUUGUCUCACCAGCCACAGUAACAUACAUGGUACGCCUCAUCUUACUGGCAGCAUACUAUUCCACUCUGUGAUUCAUGUAAUUAUCAUAUAAACUUUAUUUCCAA
Non-coding RNA from Rattus norvegicus (Norway rat), 697 nucleotides. The record is from RefSeq and is a predicted model, not a curated record. Lineage: Eukaryota; Metazoa; Chordata; Mammalia; Rodentia; Muridae.